RNAcentral lists this ribosomal RNA (179 nucleotides) under bacterium. RNAcentral's name for it is "partial 23S ribosomal RNA". It matches the Rfam family "Bacterial large subunit ribosomal RNA", at positions 2736 to 2925 of the family's 2925-position model. The record is from RNAcentral.
CAUUGCCGGGUAGCUAUGUCGGGAAGCGAUAACCGCUGAAAGCAUAUAAGCGGGAAGCGUGCUCCAAGAUUAGGAAUCGUUAUGAGGCCCCUCGGAGAUGACGAGGUUGAUAGGCUCUAGGUGGAAGCGCCGCGAGGCGUGCAGCCGAGGAGUACUAAUACGCCCAGUCUCUCGUGCGG